Molecule: long non-coding RNA, 2981 nt
Organism: Lolium perenne
Lineage: Eukaryota; Viridiplantae; Streptophyta; Magnoliopsida; Poales; Poaceae
Source: RefSeq, a predicted model, not a curated record
UAAGUACACAGCGCCUUCCCUCCCCAUUGUCUUCUCACACAGCGUCUUCCUCAUCCAGAUGCGAUGACCGGCGCGGACCGCCCCCUCCCCUUUGCCUCCCAGUCCCACAAACCACGCUGCUGCCGCAAGUCAUGUCCACCUGCUCUGCCUCCCUGCCGCUACCGCGAUGACUGCUUUUCCCCUGCUUACCCACCACCGUGGGCGCGAGAAUCCGCCGCCGGUGGCGCCGCCUCCGUGUCGCUCCUCCACCCACGGCGUGACGCGCUCGAGCAUGGUGUGCUGCCCAUUCCGAAGCUCGAGGAGGUACUGGAUAGCCGUCGGAUACCAGGUGUUCCUGGCGCUUGGCAUGCUCACGACCCUGAGCUAGGCUGACGGUGGCACAGGCCCGGACCUUGUCUCCACCGGAUCCGCGGCGGCGUCCACCGCGUGCGUUGGAGGGCCCAACAGUGCCCGAGCGCCGGCCUCCUCCUCCUUCCCGACAUGCUAUUCUGAAGUUGCCAACACAUGGCAUCUCAUCAACAAUUUGCAGAAAGGCCGCCAUUACUUGGCGCACGAUUAAGGGCAUUGGCAUACUCCUAGACUGUGCUCGAUGGUACCAACCCGGAUUCAGGAAUAUUCAGCUCGUUCAUCAGUUGAUCUGCAGUCCACCAAAGUAUGCUAGAAGUAUUUUGAGAAUUUUUUUGAGAUAGGCAUGGAUCUGUCAGAGAGGAGUGCUAUGUAAUCUCUCACAUCAAAGAGGAGAUUUCUGAGGCACCUUGUUGACUGCUUCUUGAGCUCUCGGGAUUGGUGGCGGCGCUUUAAAAUGUCAUCUUUAUUUUUUGCAUACCGUUCCCUAUCCAUCUGCCUUUUGAGCUCUUUGGGGUCUGCAUAUACUACCUCUUUAGGAAAAAAAUCAUAUGAGCCUGAAACAGAUCUUUAUAUAUAUGAUGUUUUAGGUUGAUGUUACAUACCUUUGGACUCAUUGUCCAUACUUAACAAAGAUUUUCCACAUAAUAAUUGUGAUGAAUCAGAGAUAGUAGUCAUCAUAGAUGCCCCGCUUUGCUGAACACUUGGAUCCAUACCUACAAUUACAUUCUCGACCAAGAAAAUCAGAAUUCCGUAUAUAAUUUUCGAAUACAGAAACAUAUUAGAAAACAUUACCUCCAGCAGGUGCUCUGUACUGUUGUUGGGUGACAUCGAUUUGCCCAGUAGUUUGAGUAUCACAUAAGGUGUUUUCUGUAAUCACCGGGUCCGUUGGCUUCUUUUUAAAAUCCCAUGCUUGGCGCCGGCGAUUUGAAAUCUCAUCUUUAUUUUUUGCAUACCUAUCUCUGUCCCUCUGCCUUUUGACAUCCUUAGGAUCUGCAGCUGUAUAAUUGAUCACAAUGCCGUUGUACAAAUGACAUAUUUAGGUUCAUGUUAUUUACCUUGUACUUUCCUGUUAGUUAUGUCCUGAAAUGGAUGGUGGCUAGAAGAUGACAUUAUGAUCUUCCUCUGUAUCAAAAGUAACUAACAAUUACUUGAACAAUUACGGCUCUGGUAUAAAUUAUAUUCAGAAAAUAUUGACCAUGGAAAACCCAGAAUUAGCACUAAUACGAAAAUACAUGAUACAUAAGAAAAUAGAUGUCAUCGUUGGCAGUAAGUGUCAGAAAUGAUUUGAAUUAACUCUAUUCAGUUUUUACAAUUGAAGUACAUUUAUAUUCUUGACAUUGACUCAUUUAACUUGGUGCUUAAUGGAGCUCCUUGCACCUGGAGCUUGUUUCUUCGAAGAGAGCGCCUAGAUGCUGCAAAUGAAAUGUUGCUUAGACAGAAUUCAAGUUGAGGGCAAAAAUGGGGAUCGGUAUCACAUUUGGGUUGGUGACUCAUGAGUCAUGACCAGAUAUUAUACACUCAGAAGCUUAAUGUGUAUUUCUAUACUUUCUACGACUUGUCCGGGUUGAGAGCAGUCCCAUUAUUUACUCCUUUCUUGUUAAUUAUCUUGAUUGGAGCAGCUUAUGCAAAGAUUUCUUCCUCCUGUGAUUUUUUCACUCAGGUUAGCUAAAAGUUGUUGUAGCUUAUAUUCGUACUGUUUGGUCUCAGGUUACCUUCUUCAGGCAGUUCUUCACAUCAGUCACCAAGGUGGACUACCUCACCUUGCACAUGGGCUUCAUCAACGUACUAACCAACCAUCUCCUCUCCGCCAUUACUAUUACCAUUCUAACAUUGCCAUCAUUAUCAUGUUCAAGCCGGCAGGAAACCAAAUUAAGAGAAGGAUGACAGCAUGGUUCAAGCACAAAAACCUGUUUUGAAAUCAAAAUCUGCAAGCUUGCCAUUUCACCUUCUGUGAAGCUCUGAUGCUAGCCCAACCCAAGUGUUGUAUGUUUGAGUGGCAGCCAAGGCAGCCAGAUUUGUAAAUUCAAAAGAGAAGCUGCAGGACACUCCCUGGUUCCGCCCUGGGCGCCUGUUCGAUUCGUGGACGGGUGGCCAAAGACAACGGCGGAGGGCACAGCAGUGGCGGUGUUUGGCAGGCGGCGGCCGGCGGCCGUCGGUGCAGAGCAGACGCCCGGCGGUGCAGAGCAGGCGCCCUGCGGUGCAGUGGUGCUUGUCGUUCGGGACAGACGGAUGGCGCGGUGGUUUUACUUCGCGGCCUGGCACAACAAUGGCGUUGAUCGGCGGCCGCCAGCCGGCGGUGCAGAGUGGGUUUUCGUGUGCCUUAGUAGCGUGGCGGCGGCAGGCCGGUGUGGACGGCGACGGAGGCGUCGUCGGCCGGUGGUGUGGACGGGACGGAGGCGUGGCAUCUUUCUUCUGAUCGGUCGUGGGAUAGAGCAGUUACGCUCUGUAUUUUUUUAUUCUUUCUUCUGCUUCUGAUCGGUCAGUCCGCCAGGGAGUGUCCGCCCUUGUUUCUAUCGUUGGAUGGAUGAUCUAUGGCUGAGAUCGUUUGGAUCACCACCCUCUCUCCCUUUUUAUAUUAGUGGAGAUAAGAUACAUAAGUACAUAUUCAAUACCACAAUAGUUUUUAGACUAUU